CAGUCGCCACGGUAAGACAGAGGUCCCGAGCGUUGUUCGGAUUCAUUGGGCGUAAAGGGUGUGUAGGAGGCCAGGUAAGUCAGGUGUGAAAUCUCAGAGCUUAACUCUGAAACUGCGCUUGAUACUGCUUGGCUAGAGGAUCGGAGGGGGUAACGGAAUUUAUGGUGUAGCAGUGAAAUGCGUAGAUAUCAUAAGGAACACCGGUGGCGAAGGCGGUUACCUGGAAGAUUCCUGACUCUGAAACACGAAAGCCAGGGGAGCAAACGGGAUUAGAUACCCCAGUAGUCCCUGUCUCUUAUAA
Molecule: ribosomal RNA, 301 nt
Filed under: uncultured bacterium
Lineage: Bacteria
Description: partial 16S ribosomal RNA
Rfam family: Bacterial small subunit ribosomal RNA
Source: RNAcentral